Molecule: ribosomal RNA, 429 nt
Filed under: Bacteroidota bacterium
Lineage: Bacteria; Pseudomonadati; Bacteroidota
Description: Bacteroidetes bacterium partial 16S ribosomal RNA
Rfam family: Bacterial small subunit ribosomal RNA
Source: RNAcentral
UAGGGAAUCUUCGGCAAUGGGGGGAACCCUGACCGAGCAACGCCGCGUGAGUGAAGAAGGUUUUCGGAUCGUAAAGCUCUGUUGUUAAGGAAGAACGAGUGUGAGAAUGGAAAGUUCAUACUGUGACGGUACUUAACCAGAAAGGGACGGCUAACUACGUGCCAGCAGCCGCGGUAAUACGUAGGUCCCGAGCGUUGUCCGGAUUUAUUGGGCGUAAAGCGAGCGCAGGCGGUUAGAUAAGUCUGAAGUUAAAGGCAGUGGCUCAACCAUUGUAGGCUUUGGAAACUGUGUAACUUGAGUGCAGAAGGGGAGAGUGUAAUUCCAUGUGUAGCGGUGAAAUGCGUAGAUAUAUGGAGGAACACCGGUGGCGAAAGCGGCUCUCUGGUCUGUAACUGACGCUGAGGCUCGAAAGCGUGGGGAGCGAACAGG